UACAGAGGUCCCGAGCGUUGUUCGGAUUCAUUGGGCGUAAAGGGUGCGCAGGCGGCUUCGCAAGUCAGGCGUGAAAUCCCCGAGCUUAACUUGGGAAUUGCGUUUGAAACUACGAAGCUGGAGUGUGGCAGAGGGAGGUGGAAUUCCACGUGUAGCGGUGAAAUGCGUAGAUAUGACAUAGAACACCAAUUGCGAAGGCAGCUUACUACACAGUUAUUGACACUGAGGCACGAAAGCGUGGGGAUCAAACAGG
RNAcentral lists this ribosomal RNA (253 nucleotides) under uncultured bacterium. RNAcentral's name for it is "partial 16S ribosomal RNA". It matches the Rfam family "Bacterial small subunit ribosomal RNA", at positions 524 to 776 of the family's 1533-position model. The record is from RNAcentral.